RNAcentral lists this ribosomal RNA (478 nucleotides) under uncultured bacterium. RNAcentral describes it as "partial 16S ribosomal RNA". It matches the Rfam family "Bacterial small subunit ribosomal RNA", at positions 28 to 507 of the family's 1533-position model. The record is from RNAcentral.
GAUGAACGCUGGCGGCGUGCUUAACACAUGCAAGUCGAACGAGAAGUGAAGACGGAAACCUUCGGGCGGAAGGCUUUAUUUCGAGUGGCGGACGGGUGAGUAACGCGUGGGUAACCUGCCUCAUACAGGGGGAUAACAGUUGGAAACGACUGUUAAUACCGCAUAAGACCACAGCACCGCAUGGUGCGGGGGUAAAAACUCCGGUGGUAUGAGAUGGACCCGCGUUCGAUUAGCCAGUUGGCGGGGUAACGGCCCACCAAAGCGACGAUCGGUAGCCGAUCUGAGAGGAUGACCGGCCACACUGGGACUGAGACACGGCCCAAACUCCUACGGGAGGCAGCAGUGGGGAAUAUUGCACAAUGGGGGAAACCCUGAUGCAGCGACGCCGCGUGAGUGAAGAAGUAUUUCGGUAUGUAAAGCUCUAUCAGCAGGGAAGAAAAUGACGGUACCUGAGUAAGAAGCCCCGGCUAACUACGUG